Long non-coding RNA from Archocentrus centrarchus (flier cichlid), 1178 nucleotides. RefSeq lists it as uncharacterized. Lineage: Eukaryota; Metazoa; Chordata; Actinopteri; Cichliformes; Cichlidae. The transcript has 4 exons. The record is from RefSeq and is a predicted model, not a curated record.
CCAUAAAGACAACAGCAUACACUCAGAAGGACUCAGAUGCUCGGUGGUGUGUGGUUGGAGUAGCUGGUGUGAGUGCUCUGUGUGUUCAGCUGGAGAGUUUGAGGACACAGUGAGUGCAGCUGCAGCAGUCAUGGCUGCUGGGAUACUGACUGCCAGGUUAUUCCUGCUUUGUGUCCUGAGUGAAGUGAGCUACUCCUCAUCUCUUCCAAGAGUCGGACGUUCUCUGCACCCCCGAGCAUGGCAGGAUGGAAGAGGGGACCAGGAUGUGCAUGCAACUUUCAGCCCUUCCAGUACAUGAUGGCUCUGAGGCAGACAAACAGAAAUCUGCACCCUAAUGUGCACGAUCAGGUUCAAGUCAGAGCCCCGAGGCCAUAUCAGCCUCGGUCCAGUGUUGCCACCAGAGGCCUGUGGAAACCUCUGUGCUCCAGCCUCGAACACACCGAAACGAGCCUCUAGCCAAGCCCAGGAGCUUUGAUUUGAGCCUGAAGAUUCCUUUCGCUCACGGACAUCACGAUCCUUCUCAGUACCGACCGAGCGGCUUUCAUAUCCACAACAGUUUUAACAAUCCCCUUAGAAACUAUGAUGCUUCCAAGCCAGGAUACCAGUUCAGCAUCUCUGUUCCCGUUUCACACGCUUCACCUCCGCACCCACCCAGGCAGCCAUCACUCAAGGCCACACAGGCCCAAGUAUACUGGAUGGGAUCAUCAGGCACAGCAGCAUCUACAUGUGCCCUUUGACACAAGGCCGUCCUCUCCAUCUUGGCACUCCAGACGGCAUUUUGAGCAAACUGGUCGUGAGGACCCCCGUGAGCAGGAAUUCGCAUUUCGGCAGCCGGGUGUACCAAUCACCCAUCAAGGCCGCGCCAUCCUCCAAAAUAUGAUCGUUACAGUGGAUACCACAGCUCCCACAGAAUCCUGCACAGCAUGACUACUGGAGGCAUUACCGGGGGCACUACCAUGGACCUCACCGUGGUCCUUAUCAGAGCGGUUGCAGAGCAUUCAUCCUCUGAGCCUUGGCCAGCUUCCAUCGGUCAGACUGAGGAUGGAGGAGCCAAAGUCACAGAGCACGGAGGCUGACCUCAUCUGCUCGUCUGAAUAAAAUGUCAAAGCUGGACUCUGUAGUUUGACUCUUUGUGGCUCAAAGAAUAAUUUAACAUUUGGGCUGAGAUUAAUCUUAGA